GAUGAACGCUAGCUACAGGCUUAACACAUGCAAGUCGAGGGGUAACGAGAGGAAAGCUUGCUUUCCUUGUCGACGACCGGCGCACGGGUGAGUAACGCGUAUCCAACCUGCCCCCAACUAGGGAAUAACCUUGCGAAAGUAAGACUAAUACCCUAUAAUUUCCUCAGAUGACAUCUGACGAGGAAUAAAGAUUUAUCGGUUGUGGAUGGGGAUGCGUCUGAUUAGCUUGUUGGCGGGGUAACGGCCCACCAAGGCAACGAUCAGUAGGGGUUCUGAGAGGAAGGUCCCCCACAUUGGAACUGAGACACGGUCCAAACUCCUACGGGAGGCAGCAGUGAGGAAUAUUGGUCAAUGGGCGAAAGCCUGGACCAGCCAAGUAGCGUGCAGGAUGACGGCCCUAUGGGUUGUAAACUGCUUUUAUACAGGAAUAAAGUUAGCCACGUGUGGUUAUUCGUAGGUACUGUAUGAAUAAGGACCGGCUAAUUCCGUGCCAGCCGCCGCAGUAA
This 506-nucleotide ribosomal RNA is filed under the name uncultured bacterium. RNAcentral's name for it is "partial 16S ribosomal RNA". It matches the Rfam family "Bacterial small subunit ribosomal RNA", at positions 28 to 523 of the family's 1533-position model. The record is from RNAcentral.